CAUGCGGCGCAUUAGCUAGUUGGCGGGGCAACGGCCCACCAAGGCGACGAUGCGUAGGGGUUCUGAGAGGAAGGUCCCCCACACUGGUACUGAGACACGGACCAGACUCCUACGGGAGGCAGCAGUGAGGAAUAUUGGUCAAUGGGCGCAGGCCUGAACCAGCCAAGUCGCGUGAGGGAGGACGGUCCUACGGAUUGUAAACCUCUUUUGUCGGGGAGUAACGUGCGGGACGGGUCCCGUAUUGAGAGUACCCGAAGAAAAAGCAUCGGCUAACUCCGUGCCAGCAGCCGCGGUAAUACGGAGGAUGCGAGCGUUAUCCGGAUUUAUUGGGUUUAAAGGGUGCGCAGGCGGCGCGCCAAGUCAGCGGUCAAAGUUCCGGGCUCAACCCGGUGUCGCCGUUGAAACUGGCGUGCUCGAGUGCGUGCGAGGAAGGCGGAAUGCGUUGUGUAGCGGUGAAAUGCAUAGAUAUGACGCAGAACUCCGAUUGCGAAGGCAGCUUUCCAGCGCGCUACUGACGCUGAGGCACGAAAGCGUGGGGAUCGAACAGGAUUAGAUACCCUGGUAGUCCACGCAGUAAACGAUGA
Molecule: ribosomal RNA, 584 nt
Filed under: uncultured bacterium
Lineage: Bacteria
Description: bacterial SSU rRNA
Rfam family: Bacterial small subunit ribosomal RNA
Source: RNAcentral